Molecule: small RNA, 28 nt
Filed under: Bombyx mori (domestic silkworm)
Lineage: Eukaryota; Metazoa; Arthropoda; Insecta; Lepidoptera; Bombycidae
Description: piRNA piR-bmo-1475544
Source: RNAcentral
AGGGCUCAUCGGCGUAGUUUACAACUCG